RNAcentral lists this ribosomal RNA (421 nucleotides) under uncultured eukaryotic phytoplankton. Its description in RNAcentral is "bacterial SSU rRNA". It matches the Rfam family "Bacterial small subunit ribosomal RNA", at positions 358 to 795 of the family's 1533-position model. The record is from RNAcentral.
GGAAUUUUCCGCAAUGGGCGAAAGCCUGACGGAGCAAUACCGCGUGAGGGAUGAAGGAUUUUGGUCUGUAAACCUCUUUCUCAAGAAAGAAGUUCUGACGGUACUUGAGGAAUAAGCAUCGGCUAACUCCGUGCCAGCAGCCGCGGUAAGACGGGGGAUGCAAGUGUUAUCCGGAAUUACUGGGCGUAAAGCGUCUGCAGGUGGUUUUAUAAGUCUACUGUUAAAUCUUGAGGCUCAACCUCAAAUCUGCAGUGGAAACUAUAAGACUUGAGUAUAGUAGGGGUAGAGGGAAUUUCCAGUGGAGCGGUGAAAUGCGUAGAUAUUGGGAAGAACACCAGUGGCGAAGGCGCUCUGCUGGGCCAUAACUGACGCUCAUGGACGAAAGCCAGGGGAGCGAAAGGGAUUAGAUACCCCUGUAGUC